AACGAACGUUGGCGGCGUGGAUUAGGCAUGCAAGUCGUACGCGAAAGAGGGGGCAACUCCUCGAGUAAAGUGGCGAACGGGUGAGUAACGCGUAGGAAACCUGCCUUCGAGAUGGGGGAGUAACACUCCUAACGGGGUGCUAAUACCGAAUGACACUGCGGGAUCGCAUGGUUCUGCAGUCAAAGGUGGCCUCUGCUUGCAAGCUACCACUCAAAGAUGGUCCUGCGUCCCANAGUCUAGUUGGCGGGGUAACGGCCCNCCAAGGCGACGAUGGGUAGCCGAUCUGAGAGGAUGACCGGCACACUGGGACUGAGAUACGGCCCAGACUCCUACGGGAGGCAGCAGUCGAGAGGCUUCGGCAAUGGGGAAACCCUGACCGAGCGACGCCGCGUGGAGGAUGAAGG
This 404-nucleotide ribosomal RNA is filed under the name uncultured bacterium. Its description in RNAcentral is "bacterial SSU rRNA". It matches the Rfam family "Bacterial small subunit ribosomal RNA", at positions 29 to 414 of the family's 1533-position model. The record is from RNAcentral.